ACAUUUCGUCCAAGAUCCUAAAUAUCCGGGGAUAUUAUACAACCACGACAAUGAGUAUCUUCACUACCAAGACGACUGGUACAUUCUCUCAUCCCAAGUGGAAAACAAA
Salvia miltiorrhiza (redroot sage) is the source of this 109-nucleotide long non-coding RNA. RefSeq lists it as uncharacterized. The transcript has 2 exons. The record is from RefSeq and is a predicted model, not a curated record. Lineage: Eukaryota; Viridiplantae; Streptophyta; Magnoliopsida; Lamiales; Lamiaceae.